Molecule: ribosomal RNA, 254 nt
Filed under: uncultured bacterium
Lineage: Bacteria
Description: partial 16S ribosomal RNA
Rfam family: Bacterial small subunit ribosomal RNA
Source: RNAcentral
UACGGGGGGAGCAAGCGUUGUUCGGAUUUACUGGGCGUAAAGGGCGCGUAGGCGGCCACCGCAAGUCGACUGUGAAAUCUCCGGGCUUAACCCGGAAAGGUCAGCCGAUACUGCGGGGCUAGAGUGCAGAAGGGGCAACUGGAAUUCUCGGUGUAGCGGUGAAAUGCGUAGAUAUCCGGAGGAACACCGGUGGCGAAGGCGGCUUCCUGGACCGAUACUGACGCUGAGGCGCGAAAGCUAGGGGAGCAAACGGG